RNAcentral lists this non-coding RNA (159 nucleotides) under Oryza brachyantha (malo sina). Its description in RNAcentral is "Bacterial small subunit ribosomal RNA". It matches the Rfam family "Bacterial small subunit ribosomal RNA", at positions 1216 to 1374 of the family's 1533-position model. Lineage: Eukaryota; Viridiplantae; Streptophyta; Magnoliopsida; Poales; Poaceae. The record is from Rfam by way of RNAcentral.
AUAAGUGUCGUUUAAUGACUUCCCAAAGGGUCGCGAUCUCGUGAGGGUGAGCUAACUCCAAAAACCCGUCCUCAGUUCGGAUUGCAGGCUGCAACUCGCAUGUAUGAAGCAGGAAUCGCUAGUAAUCGCUGGUCAGCCAUAUGGCGGUGAAUCCGUUCC